Molecule: ribosomal RNA, 1491 nt
Filed under: Triticum aestivum (bread wheat)
Lineage: Eukaryota; Viridiplantae; Streptophyta; Magnoliopsida; Poales; Poaceae
Description: partial small subunit ribosomal RNA
Source: RNAcentral
AUGCCGAGGUUGCGUCGCGUGCGGCCGGGCCGGGCCGUGGAAGAGGACCGCCUCAGCGCGCUCCCAGAAGAGCUGAUCCGCCUCAUACUGAGCCGGCUGGACACCCGCAGCGCGCUCUCGACCGCCGUCCUCGCCAGGCGCUGGGCACGCGUCCCCCGCGAGAUCCCAGCGUACGACUUCAGGGUGAGCGACAUACUCCCGCUAGAGUACGACCAGACGAUCGCCCUCCGCCGGCUCAACCUGCCGCGCGACGAGGCUCUGUGCAGGAUUGUCGACGGCCCGAUGGCGAGCUGCGAGGCCUCUACCAUGCGCGCGUUCGUGGACGGCGUCACCGGCUUCUUGGAGGCAGACGGCGGCGCCGCACGCCGGUGCCCCAAGACCCUCCGCCUCGAGUUCUUCCAGACGGACGACGGCGCCCGCAUAGUCGACCGCCUGAUCACUACCGCUGUCGGCGCGUGGGGAGUGGAGGACCUGGAGGUGGCCGUCAGGCCGGCGUUCCACGGGCCCCCGCCGGGCUACGGCAUCCCCCUCGAGGACGGCGACAGGUCGCGCCUGCGCAGCCUGACGCUGGGCAACUGCACGCUCCCGCCCAAGCUGCACUGCUACGGCGCGCUCACCAAGCUGGUCUUGCGAGACAUGGCCGCUUCCACGCCCGUGGACGUGUACGAGAGGGUGUUCAGCGAGUGCGCACGGCUGCAGGCGCUGCACCUCACGUCCUGCGGCUGCGCGGGGGACCGUCUGGUGGUGUGUUCACAGAUCAGGGAGUUCGUCGUGGAAGGGUGCUCGUUCAUGGAGAUCGAGCUGCGGGACCUCCCAAUGCUUGCCCGCCUGGCCUGCCUAACCAACACGGUGGAGCUCGUCUUCGGCUCGGUUCCGUGCCUCACGCACACCAACCUCACCUUCUUUGUGGAGGAGGAUCCGGUGGUUUUGCCGCCGCACCACGAUGAGCUCAACCAGUUCCUGGACAUGUCGCCAACCAUGGAGAACCUCGUCAUCCGGUUCACCGGGCCGAUUGGGGUCAAGAAACUAGACAAGCCAUUGCUCCACCUGAAGAAGCUCCUUGUCGCCGACGUGCCCUCCAACUGGGACGUCUCAUGGACGCGCACCCUCCUCAUGGCCGCGCCAUCACUCGAGGUCCUGCACAUCCAUGUGGCUCGCUCGGAGAUUCCAGAAACUUACGGGAUAAUAUGGUCAAGAACGAGCCAGAAGCAAUGCCACCCUCACAUGAAGGAGCUGGUCAUGAUUGGAUUCACGCUCACGCGGCUCCAAAUGGAGUUUCUCAAGUACGUUGUGAGCGCGUGCACAUCCUUACAACGCCUUGUUCUUCUCAAGGAUGGCCGUGUUCGAUACCAUGGACUUUGGGAUUGGGACAUGGCCAGGGAACAGCAAGAGUGCCGGUGGAGAGAUCAUGAUAAAAGGGCGGUGAGAAGAAUGAUCCAAUCUGGGCCUAGUCCUCUCGUUGAACUCACCUUGGGAUUCACCUUGGGAUGA